RNAcentral lists this long non-coding RNA (2214 nucleotides) under Camponotus floridanus (Florida carpenter ant). RNAcentral's name for it is "uncharacterized LOC109610399, transcript variant X1". The record is from RNAcentral. Lineage: Eukaryota; Metazoa; Arthropoda; Insecta; Hymenoptera; Formicidae.
UAAAGUUUACUACGUGAUUUUGUUUUAAUUUUGUUUCAGAGAGUAGAGCUAUGUCUGGAUUUUGCAUCUUUAGUAUGUUUGUUAUCGAAGAUCUCUUUGCUUUCUCAACUAAUUGUGUAAGAUUGUUUAUUUGUUCCUGUUGCUUUUGUAGAAGUGUCAUUACUUGAGUUUUAAACAUGUUUAUGAUAUCAUUGAUACUAGACGCUAAUGGUGCAUUUAGAGAUGUAUUUUCUGCAGGUUAAGGAGUAUUGGGCAACCACGAUAGGAUGCUGGAUGGCCGUAACUUUGAUAGUUUGCGCAAUAUAAUUGAGUCUUAUCCUGUAUACUAUUUGGAGAUAACUUACAUUCUGGGACAUGCGAAUCCUUCUAAUUUACGCACCUAUAUUUGAGGUUGCAGUUGGAUGCUACGUGCCCUAAUCGUUGGCACCUUUUGCAUUGUAUAAUGUUUUUGUUUUUUAAUUUAUCCCACGAUAUAACGUGAUGACAUAGUCUAUUUAUUUUGAGAAGAUUGUGUAUUUUACUUCCUGCCUCCAACUGAACCAAAAAGAUAGGUAAUUGGAUAUUCUCGCUUACGGAUCUUUUUGUCUUAAAGAGUGUGACUUUAUGAAAGCCUAUGCCUUCGAUCUUUAACGAUUUUAAUUCGUUCAGAAUUUGUUGGGGGUCGUACGAGUGAUGUAAUCCCUUUAAUAGAACUGAGAUAACUUUGUCUUUUUUUGGUGUGAAAGUAUAAAAACAUGUAUCUACCGAUUCUAAUAAUUUUUUAGCUUUAUGAAAUCUGUUAGCGAGAACAUCUGUAAUAUAUGUUUAUUAUUAUUUAUACGUUUAAUUGUAAAAUUUGCCUGUUUUAUUUGGUUAGAUAUAAGCCUUUCCUUUGUCCUAUGUCCUUUGGGUUUUGAUAGAUAAUGUUGAGCAGAGGUGGCUUUUCUUCUUUUUUUUUAUCCUUUCCUUUUUCCGAUUCUUGUUGUCUUCUCCGUAUAUUUUUAUAUUAGAGGGCCCUGGAUGGACGUUUGUUCCUUCUUGUGAUGUGUUGUUGUGGUAAGAUUUAUCCUUGAUAUUGGGGGCUUCAGUAAUCGGAUGAGUACGUCUAUUCCGAUUUUUUAAAUCUUCUAUGAAGCUAUUGUUGUCGUUAGCAUCAGUAUCUGUUUCCAUUAAGUCCGUAAUUUCAUUAAGAGGUGUGUAUUUAUUCAUCGUUUGUUUCAGGCGUACAUUAUAGGCUGGCGUAUUUUCGAUUUAGAGAUCGAUUUGUGCUUGUACGUCCUCUUUUAAGGGUAUAUUAUUAAUCAUUAUAGUGCUUUUUAUGGGCUGUAUGUUUUCUUUGUUCGAGUCAUUUGCAUGUUGGCUUUCUUUCUUCAUUUUAACUAAAGUAAUAUUUGGACGCAGAUUUCUACUUUUUUGUUUCUUUAUUAGUUGCUGACGUAGCUUUCUUAGCGAGGCACUGUUUGUAUUUGUUGCAUUAUACUUUACUGUAUCAAACUGAUUGUUUAUAAUGGUCUUUUUUAGCGACGAAGUUAUGUCGUUUUCGUCUAUCGUUUUGGAUUCCUUAGUGGUGUUAAUUUUUUCACCACUUAACUUAUUUGGUGACUUUUCUGUAAUAGGAGACAACUUUAUUUUGUUUUGUUAUAUUACUUUGUAACUUUUAGGUUUAUUUUUAUGAUUUUAGCGCCUAAUUGAUUUCGCCAGCGAUACUCUCUCCUCCUCCUUUCCCUCUCUUUGUCUCUAACAUUCUGUAUCUAUGCAAACAUAAAAAUAUGUAAAUGUCUUGAAAUUAUCGCUAUUAUCACGGUAUUCCCUUUGUUUGUAAAUGGUCUUUUUUAGCGACGAGGUUAUGUCGUUUUCGUCUAUCGUUUUGGAUUCCUUAGUGGUGUUAAUUUUUUCACCACUUAACUUAUUUGGUGACUUUUUUGUAAUGGGAGACAACUUUAUUUUGUUUUGUUAUAUUACUUUGUAACUUUUAGGUUUAUUUUUAUGAUUUUAGCGACUAAUUGAUUUCGCCGAUACUCUCUCCUCCCCCUUCCCCUCUCUUUCUCUCUAACAUUCUGUAUCUAUGCAAACAUAAAAAUAUGUAAACGUUUUGAAAUUAUCGCUAUUAUCACGGUAUUCCCUUUGUUUGUAAAUCGCUACUAACUAUUACCAUUGCAUUUAUAUUCUUCACUGAAGUAUGUCGUGCAAAUAAAUAUAGAUAAAUUUCUUAUAUACACAUAAAAUCUUUACCUU